Molecule: ribosomal RNA, 862 nt
Filed under: uncultured bacterium
Lineage: Bacteria
Description: bacterial SSU rRNA
Rfam family: Bacterial small subunit ribosomal RNA
Source: RNAcentral
GGCAGCACGAUGUAGCAAUACAUUGGUGGCGACCGGCGCACGGGUGAGUAACGCGUAUGCAACCUACCUAUCAGAGGGGAAUAACCCGGCGAAAGUCGGACUAAUACCGCAUAAAACAGGGGUUCCACAUGGAAAUAUUUGUUAAAGAAUUAUCGCUGAUAGAUGGGCAUGCGUUCCAUUAGAUAGUUGGUGAGGUAACGGCUCACCAAGUCCACGAUGGAUAGGGGUUCUGAGAGGAAGGUCCCCCACACUGGUACUGAGACACGGACCAGACUCCUACGGGAGGCAGCAGUGAGGAAUAUUGGUCAAUGGGCGAGAGCCUGAACCAGCCAAGUCGCGUGAAGGAUGAAGGAUCUAUGGUUUGUAAACUUCUUUUAUAUGGGAAUAAAGUGAGGAACGUGUUCCUUUUUGUAUGUACCAUAUGAAUAAGCAUCGGCUAACUCCGUGCCAGCAGCCGCGGUAAUACGGAGGAUGCGAGCGUUAUCCGGAUUUAUUGGGUUUAAAGGGUGCGUAGGUGGUUAAUUAAGUCAGCGGUGAAAGUUUGUGGCUCAACCAUAAAAUUGCCGUUGAAACUGGUUGACUUGAGUAUAUUUGAGGUAGGCGGAAUGCGUGGUGUAGCGGUGAAAUGCAUAGAUAUCACGCAGAACUCCGAUUGCGAAGGCAGCUUACUAAACUAUAACUGACACUGAAGCACGAAAGCGUGGGGAUCAAACAGGAUUAGAUACCCUGGUAGUCCACGCAGUAAACGAUGAUUACUAGCUGUUUGCGAUACACAGUAAGCGGCACAGCGAAAGCGUUAAGUAAUCCACCUGGGGAGUACGCCGGCAACGGUGAAGCUCAAAGGAAUUGACGGGGGCCCGCA